RNAcentral lists this ribosomal RNA (341 nucleotides) under Pectinopygus occidentalis. Its description in RNAcentral is "partial 12S ribosomal RNA". The record is from RNAcentral. Lineage: Eukaryota; Metazoa; Arthropoda; Insecta; Psocodea; Philopteridae.
UCUGAGGGUUAAAUUACUUAGAAGAGUAAGGAUUAAAUCUGAAAAUCAUGUUUUAGUGGCGGUUUGGAAUCCUAUUAGAAGGUUAUGUCUAAUAAUUAGAAGUUGCGCUAGUAUCUUACUCAAGUUGGAGUAAUAAUCAUUUUAUACACCGUCAUUUAUAUAAUGGUAUAACUAUAAAUAUCUGUAAAAAGUAGUAAAGUAGAUCAUGGCAUAGACUAUGCUUGUGAGUAGAUGUAAUUUAAUUAGCUUAUUUGAAUAUUUUAUGUAAAAUAUUAUAUAAAUUAGAAUUUAAUAGUAAAAAUAGUUCAACAUCCUAUUUUGAAAUAGGCUCUUCUGAAUGU